Molecule: ribosomal RNA, 561 nt
Filed under: uncultured bacterium
Lineage: Bacteria
Description: partial 16S ribosomal RNA
Rfam family: Bacterial small subunit ribosomal RNA
Source: RNAcentral
UGGGGAAUAUUGGACAAUGGGCGCAAGCCUGAUCCAGCCAUGCCGCGUGAGUGAUGAAGGCCUUAGGGUUGUAAAGCUCUUUCGCCGGUGAAGAUAAUGACGGUAACCGGAGAAGAAGCCCCGGCUAACUUCGUGCCAGCAGCCGCGGUAAUACGAAGGGGGCUAGCGUUGCUCGGAAUCACUGGGCGUAAAGCGCACGUAGGCGGAUCGUUAAGUCAGGGGUGAAAUCCUGGAGCUCAACUCCAGAACUGCCCUUGAUACUGGCGAUCUCGAGUCCGAGAGAGGUUGGUGGAACUCCGAGUGUAGAGGUGAAAUUCGUAGAUAUUCGGAAGAACACCAGUGGCGAAGGCGGCCAACUGGCUCGAUACUGACGCUGAGGUGCGAAAGCGUGGGGAGCAAAACAGGAUUAGAUACCCUGGUAGUCCACGCCGUAAACGAUGGAUGCUAGCCGUUGGGGGGUUUACCUCUCAGUGGCGCAGCUAACGCCUUAAGCAUCCCGCCUGGGGAGUACGGUCGCAAGAUUAAAACUCAAAGGAAUUGACGGGGUCAUAGCUGUUUCCU